GGGCACGACCGUGUUUACGGCGUCUUACAGGGAUGAUGAGAACAGACACGUGAGGAAGAGAAGCCAGCAGCACAUGGGAACAUGAGGAGUUCUGACUGAAGGCACAGAAAUAGUAUUUGGAUGGAUAACUUUGGUAUCAACCCUCUGCGAAGGCUACUGGAAGAAGGGCUGGCCUCAGAAACGGAUCUAAGAUGGACGCUAAGACUGAGUCAUACAGCCAUUUACGCAUGGAACCGAACUAUCAUGGCCUGGAGACUUUGAUUUCUACAAGGACUAAAAUGAGCUUCCCGAGAAAUACAGCUGCCCAGGCCUCCCAAGCAGACAAUGGAAGAGCAGGGAGUCAAACCCAGGUUACAUUCAACUCUGGGGUCUGAGCAGUGCUCUGACUGUGCUAAGCUGAAGUCAGCCUUCGUCAGGUGGGCUGACCUGUUGGAGGAGCAGCCGAGCACACAUCUGCAGGCUGAAGGAUGGCGACCAACCACAGCAUCCUCCCAGUGUGAGCUAGGGGCAGGGAUGCCUAAGGGCACUUCUUACAAGUAUCUAGUCAACAGGUCAGGU
Molecule: long non-coding RNA, 558 nt
Organism: Mustela lutreola (European mink)
Lineage: Eukaryota; Metazoa; Chordata; Mammalia; Carnivora; Mustelidae
Exons: 3
Source: RefSeq, a predicted model, not a curated record